This 518-nucleotide ribosomal RNA is filed under the name uncultured Glomeromycotina. RNAcentral describes it as "SSU rRNA". It matches the Rfam family "Eukaryotic small subunit ribosomal RNA", at positions 569 to 1092 of the family's 1831-position model. Lineage: Eukaryota; Fungi; Glomeromycota. The record is from RNAcentral.
AGCAGCCGCGGUAAUUCCAGCUCCAUAGCGUAUAUUAAAGUUGUUGCAGUUAAAAAGCUCGUAGUUGAAUUUUAGGCCUGGCCGGGCGGUCCGUCUUUGGCGAGUACUGUCUGUUGUCGGGUCUUCCUUCUGGUGAACCAAUAUGUCCUUUAUUGGGUGUGCUGGGGAGCCCGGACCAUUACCUUGAAAAAAUUAGAGUGUUUAAAGCAGGCUUUUGCUUGAAUAGAUUAGCAUGGAAUAAUAGAAUAGGACGUUGUGGUUCUAUUUUGUUGGUUUCUAGGACCACCGUAAUGAUUAAUAGGGAUAGUUGGGGGCAUUAGUAUUCAAUUGUCAGAGGUGAAAUUCUUGGAUUUAUUGAAGACUAACUAUUGCGAAAGCAUUUGCCAAGGAUGUUUUCAUUAAUCAAGAACGAAAGUUAGGGGAUCGAAGACCAUCAGAUACCGUCGUAAUCUUAACCAUAAACUAUGCCAACGAGGAAUCGGGCGACGUUAUUUUAAUGACUCGCUCGGCGCCUUAUG